This 253-nucleotide ribosomal RNA is filed under the name uncultured bacterium. RNAcentral's name for it is "partial 16S ribosomal RNA". It matches the Rfam family "Bacterial small subunit ribosomal RNA", at positions 524 to 776 of the family's 1533-position model. The record is from RNAcentral.
GACAGAGGAGCCAAGCGUUGUCCGGACUGACUGGGCGUAAAGCGCACGCAGGCGGCGCUGCGCGUGGGGUGUGAAAGCUCUUGGCUUAACUGAGAGAGGCCAUCCCAUACGGCAGUGCUCGAGCGGUGCAGAGGUCCGCGGAAUUGCCGGUGUAGUGGUGAAAUGCGUAGAGAUCGGCAGGAACACCCAGGGGGAAACCAGCGGACUGGGCAUCAGCUGACGCUCAGGUGCGACAGCGUGGGGAGCGAACUGG